This 276-nucleotide unclassified non-coding RNA is filed under the name Serendipitaceae sp. Its description in RNAcentral is "partial contains 5.8S ribosomal RNA, internal transcribed spacer 2, and large subunit ribosomal RNA". The record is from RNAcentral. Lineage: Eukaryota; Fungi; Basidiomycota; Agaricomycetes; Sebacinales; Serendipitaceae.
CGCACCUUGCACCCUUUGGUAUUCCGAAGGGUACGCCCGUUUGAGUGUCAUUGUAAUCUCAAUCCCACGACUUUAUGUUGUGUGAUUGGACUUGGAUCCUGUCGCAGUCUGUGACUGAUCCGAAAUGCAUCAGCGUGUGUCCGUCGUGACGAUAAACCGAUUGUUAAACUUCAUCGGGCUCGCUCUGUCGAGGUUGUCUGGCGAAAGCACAUGCUAAACCCCCCUACAUUUUGACAAUUUGACCUCAAAUCGGGUGGGAUCACCCGCUGAACUUAA